UCCGGUUUGUCACCGGCAGUCUGGUGUGAGUCCCCAACUAAAUGCUGGCAACACACCACGGGGGUUGCGCUCGUUGCGGGACUUAACCCAACAUCUCACGACACGAGCUGACGACAGCCAUGCAGCACCUGUAUCCCGGUUCCCGAAGGCACCAAUCCAUCUCUGGAAAGUUCCGAGUAUGUCAAGGGCAGGUAAGGUUCUUCGCGUUGCAUCGAAUUAAACCACAUGCUCCACCGCUUGUGCGGGCCCCCGUCAAUUCAUUUGAGUUUUAACCUUGCGGCCGUACUCCCCAGGCGGUCGACUUAUCGCGUUAACUGCGCCACUAAGAACUCGAGGCUCCCAACGGCUAGUCGUCAUCGUUUACGGCGUGGACUAC
RNAcentral lists this unclassified non-coding RNA (376 nucleotides) under uncultured Gammaproteobacteria bacterium. RNAcentral's name for it is "contains 16S-23S intergenic spacer region". Lineage: Bacteria; Pseudomonadati; Pseudomonadota; Gammaproteobacteria. The record is from RNAcentral.